GAUGAACGCUGGCGGCGUGCCUAAUACAUGCAAGUCGAGCGAACGGACGAGAAGCUUGCUUCUCUGAUGUUAGCGGCGGACGGAUGAGUAACACGUGGAUAACCUACCUAUAAGACUGGGAUAACUUCGGGAAACCGGAGCUAAUACCGGAUAAUAUUUUGAACCGCAUGGUUCAAAAGUGAAAGACGGUCUUGCUGUCACUUAUAGAUGGAUCCGCGCUGCAUUAGCUAGUUGGUAAGGUAACGGCUUACCGAGGCAACGAUGCAUAGCCGACCUGAGAGGGUGAUCGGCCACACUGGAACUGAGACACGGUCCAGACUCCUACGGGAGGCAGCAGUAGGGAAUCUUCCGCAAUGGGCGAAAGCCUGACGGAGCAACGCCGCGUGAGUGAUGAAGGUCUUCGGAUCGUAAAACUCUGUUAUUAGGGAAGAACAUAUGUGUAAGUAACUGUGCACAUCUUGACGGUACCUAAUCAGAAAGCCACGGCUAACUACGUG
RNAcentral lists this ribosomal RNA (497 nucleotides) under uncultured bacterium. RNAcentral's name for it is "partial 16S ribosomal RNA". It matches the Rfam family "Bacterial small subunit ribosomal RNA", at positions 28 to 507 of the family's 1533-position model. The record is from RNAcentral.